RNAcentral lists this ribosomal RNA (1074 nucleotides) under Firmicutes bacterium VNs59. RNAcentral's name for it is "bacterial SSU rRNA". It matches the Rfam family "Bacterial small subunit ribosomal RNA", at positions 363 to 1455 of the family's 1533-position model. Lineage: Bacteria; Bacillati; Bacillota. The record is from RNAcentral.
UUUGCACAAUGGGCGAAAGCCUGAUGCAGCAACGCCGCGUGAGUGAUGAAGGCUUUCGAGUCGUAAAGCUCUUUGAUCAGGGAUGAUAAUGACAGUACCUGAAAAACAAGCCACGGCUAACUACGUGCCAGCAGCCGCGGUAAUACGUAGGUGGCGAGCGUUGUCCGGAAUUACUGGGCGUAAAGGAUGCGUAGGUGGAUACUUAAGUGGGAUGUGAAAUCCCCGGGCUCAACCCGGGAACUGCAUUCCAAACUGGGUAUCUAGAGUGCAGGAGAGGAAAGCGGAAUUCCUAGUGUAGCGGUGAAAUGCGUAGAUAUUAGGAGGAACACCAGUGGCGAAGGCGGCUUUCUGGACUGUAACUGACACUGAGGCAUGAAAGCGUGGGUAGCAAACAGGAUUAGAUACCCUGGUAGUCCACGCCGUAAACGAUGGGUACUAGGUGUAGGAGGUAUCGACCCCUUCUGUGCCGUCGUUAACACAAUAAGUACCCCGCCUGGGGAGUACGGUCGCAAGACUAAAACUCAAAGGAAUUGACGGGGGCCCGCACAAGCAGCGGAGCAUGUGGUUUAAUUCGAAGCAACGCGAAGAACCUUACCUAGACUUGACAUCUCCUGAAUUACCCUUAAUCGGGGAAGCCCUUCGGGGCAGGAAGACAGGUGGUGCAUGGUUGUCGUCAGCUCGUGUCGUGAGAUGUUGGGUUAAGUCCCGCAACGAGCGCAACCCUUAUUUUUAGUUGCUACCAUUUAGUUGAGCACUCUAAAGAGACUGCCCGGGUUAACCGGGAGGAAGGUGGGGAUGACGUCAAAUCAUCAUGCCCCUUAUGUCUAGGGCUACACACGUGCUACAAUGGUGAGAACAAAGAGACGCGAGACCGCGAGGUGGAGCAAAUCUCAUAAAACUCAUCCCAGUUCGGAUUGCAGGCUGAAACUCGCCUGCAUGAAGCCGGAGUUGCUAGUAAUCGCGAAUCAGCAUGUCGCGGUGAAUACGUUCCCGGGCCUUGUACACACCGCCCGUCACACCAUGAGAGUUGGCAAUACCCGAAGUCCGUGGGGCAACCAGCAAUGGAGCCAGCGG